GACGAACGCUGGCGGCGUGCCUAAUACAUGCAAGUCGAACGCACUCUCGUUUAGAUUGAAGGAGCUUGCUCCUGAUUGAUAAACAUUUGAGUGAGUGGCGGACGGGUGAGUAACACGUGGGUAACCUGCCCUAAAGUGGGGGAUAACAUUUGGAAACAGAUGCUAAUACCGCAUAAAACCUAACACCGCAUGGUGUAGGGUUGAAAGAUGGUUUCGGCUAUCACUUUAGGAUGGACCCGCGGUGCAUUAGUUAGUUGGUGAGGUAAAGGCUCACCAAGACCGUGAUGCAUAGCCGACCUGAGAGGGUAAUCGGCCACACUGGGACUGAGACACGGCCCAGACUCCUACGGGAGGCAGCAGUAGGGAAUCUUCCACAAUGGACGAAAGUCUGAUGGAGCAACGCCGCGUGAGUGAAGGAGGUUUCGGAUCGUAAACUCUGUUGUUGGAGAAGAAUGUAUCUGAUAGUACUGAUCAGGUAGUGACGGUAUCCAACCAGAA
RNAcentral lists this ribosomal RNA (498 nucleotides) under uncultured bacterium. RNAcentral describes it as "bacterial SSU rRNA". It matches the Rfam family "Bacterial small subunit ribosomal RNA", at positions 28 to 488 of the family's 1533-position model. The record is from RNAcentral.